RNAcentral lists this ribosomal RNA (272 nucleotides) under uncultured bacterium. Its description in RNAcentral is "partial 16S ribosomal RNA". The record is from RNAcentral.
CUGCUGCCUUCCGUAGGAGUCUGGUCCGUGUCUCAGUACCAGUGUGGGGGGCCUUCCUCUCAGAACCCCUACGCAUCGUCGGCACGGUGGGCCGUUACCCCGCCGUCUACCUAAUGCGACGCAUGUCCAUCCUAUGCCGGAUCUCUCCUUUAACCUCCCGGGAGUGCUCCCAAAAGGUGUUACGCGGUAUUAGGCCGGAUUUCUCCGGGUUAUCCCCCUGCAUAGGGCAGGUUACAUACGUGUUACUCACCCGUGCGCCGGUCGCCGGCAGG